This 491-nucleotide ribosomal RNA is filed under the name uncultured bacterium. RNAcentral describes it as "partial 16S ribosomal RNA". It matches the Rfam family "Bacterial small subunit ribosomal RNA", at positions 29 to 507 of the family's 1533-position model. The record is from RNAcentral.
GUGAACGCUGGCGGUAGGCCUAACACAUGCAAGUCGAACGGCAGCACAGUAAGAGCUUGCUCUUACGGGUGGCGAGUGGCGGACGGGUGAGGAAUACAUCGGAAUCUACUUUUUCGUGGGGGAUAACGUAGGGAAACUUACGCUAAUACCGCAUACGACCUACGGGUGAAAGCAGGGGAUCUUCGGACCUUGCGCGAUUGAAUGAGCCGAUGUCGGAUUAGCUAGUUGGCGGGGUAAAGGCCCACCAAGGCGACGAUCCGUAGCUGGUCUGAGAGGAUGAUCAGCCACACUGGAACUGAGACACGGUCCAGACUCCUACGGGAGGCAGCAGUGGGGAAUAUUGGACAAAGGGCGCAAGCCUGAUCCAGCCAUACCGCGUGGGUGAAGAAGGCCUUCGGGUUGUAAAGCCCUUUUGUUGGGAAAGAAAAGCGGCAGGUUAAUACCCCGCUGUUCUGACGGUACCCAAAGAAUAAGCACCGGCUAACUUCGUG